RNAcentral lists this ribosomal RNA (143 nucleotides) under uncultured bacterium. Its description in RNAcentral is "partial 16S ribosomal RNA". It matches the Rfam family "Bacterial small subunit ribosomal RNA", at positions 338 to 478 of the family's 1533-position model. The record is from RNAcentral.
CCUACGGGAGGCAGCAGUGAGGAAUAUUGGACAAUGGGUGAGAGCCUGAUCCAGCCAUGCCGCGUGCAGGAAGACUGCCCUAUGGGUUGUAAACUGCUUUUAUACAGGAAGAAACACUCGGACGUGUCCGAGCUUGACGGUAC